Molecule: ribosomal RNA, 496 nt
Filed under: uncultured bacterium
Lineage: Bacteria
Description: partial 16S ribosomal RNA
Rfam family: Bacterial small subunit ribosomal RNA
Source: RNAcentral
GAUGAACGCUGGCGGCGUGCCUAAUACAUGCAAGUCGAGCGAACGGACGAGAAGCUUGCUUCUCUGAUGUUAGCGGCGGACGGGUGAGUAACACGUGGAUAACCUACCUAUAAGACUGGGAUAACUUCGGGAAACCGGAGCUAAUACCGGAUGAUAUUUUGAACCGCAUGGUUCAAAAGUGAAAGACGGUCUUGCUGUCACUUAUAGAUGGAUCCGCGCUGCAUUAGCUAGUUGGUAAGGUAACGGCUUACCAAGGCAACGAUGCAUAGCCGACCUGAGAGGGUGAUCGGCCACACGGGAACUGAGAAACGGUCCAGACGCCUACGGGAGGCAGCGUAGGGAAUCUUCCGCAAUGGGCGAAAGCCUGACGGAGCAACGCCGCGUGAGUGAUGAAGGUCUUCGGAUCGUAAAACUCUGUUAUUAGGGAAGAACAUAUGUGUAAGUAACUGUGCACAUCUUGACGGUACCUAAUCAGAAAGCCACGGCUAACUACGUG